GACGAACGCUGGCGGCGUGCUUAACACAUGCAAGUCGAACGGAAAGGCCAAGAGAUAGUGGGGUGCUCGAGUGGCGAAUGAGUGAGUAAAACAUAAGUAACCUGCCCUUGCCUGAGAGAACAAAUAAGGAAACUGGGGCUAAUACCGGAUAGGAGAGCGUGCUGCAUGGUGGGGGUUGGAAAGUUUCGGCGGUUGGGGAUGGACUCGCGGCUUAUCAGCUUGUUGGUGGGGUAGUGGCUUACCAAGGCUUUGACGGGUAGCCGGCCUGAGAGGGUGACCGGCCACAUUGGGACUGAGAGUCGUGCCAGACUCGUACGGGAGGCAGCAGUGGGGAAUAUUGCACAAUGGGCGGAAGCCUGUUGCAGCAACUCUGCGUGCGGGAUGACGGCCUUCGGGUUGUAAACUUCUUUCGCCUGUGACGAAGCGUGAGUGACGGUAAUGGGUAAAGAAGCACCGGCUAACUACGUG
This 468-nucleotide ribosomal RNA is filed under the name uncultured bacterium. Its description in RNAcentral is "partial 16S ribosomal RNA". It matches the Rfam family "Bacterial small subunit ribosomal RNA", at positions 28 to 507 of the family's 1533-position model. The record is from RNAcentral.